Molecule: ribosomal RNA, 496 nt
Filed under: uncultured bacterium
Lineage: Bacteria
Description: partial 16S ribosomal RNA
Rfam family: Bacterial small subunit ribosomal RNA
Source: RNAcentral
GAUGAACGCUGGCGGCGUGCCUAAUACAUGCAAGUCGAGCGAACAGACGAGGAGCUUGCUCCUCUGACGUUAGCGGCGGACGGGUGAGUAACACGUGGAUAACCUACCUAUAAGACUGGGAUAACUUCGGGAAACCGGAGCUAAUACCGGAUAAUAUAUUGAACCGCAUGGUUCAAUAGUGAAAGACGGUUUUGCUGUCACUUAUAGAUGGAUCCGCGCCGCAUUAGCUAGUUGGUAAGGUAACGGCUUACCAAGGCAACGAUGCGUAGCCGACCUGAGAGGGUGAUAGGCCACACUGGAACUGAACCACGGUCCAGACUCCUACGGGAGGCAGCAGUAGGGAAUCUUCCGCAAUGGGCGAAAGCCUGACGGAGCAACGCCGCGUGAGUGAUGAAGGUCUUCGGAUCGUAAAACUCUGUUAUUAGGGAAGAACAAAUGUGUAAGUAACUAUGCACGUCUUGACGGUACCUAAUCAGAAAGCCACGGCUAACUACGU